RNAcentral lists this unclassified non-coding RNA (389 nucleotides) under plant metagenome. RNAcentral's name for it is "partial contains 5.8S ribosomal RNA, internal transcribed spacer 2, and large subunit ribosomal RNA". The stretch from base 1 to 105 matches the Rfam family "5.8S ribosomal RNA", at positions 50 to 154 of the family's 154-position model. The record is from RNAcentral.
GAAAUGCGAUAAGUAAUGUGAAUUGCAGAAUUCAGUGAAUCAUCGAAUCUUUGAACGCACCUUGCGCCCUUUGGUAUUCCGAGGGGCAUGCCUGUUUGAGUGUCAUUAAAUACCAUCAACCCUCUUUUGACUUCGGUCUCGAGAGUGGCUUGGAAGUGGAGGUCUGCUGGAGCCUAACGGAGCCAGCUCCUCUUAAAUGUAUUAGCGGAUUUACCUUGCGGGAUCGCGUCUCCGAUGUGAUAAUUUCUACGUCGUUGACCAUCUCGGGGCUGACCUAGUCAGUUUCAAUAGGAGUCUGCUUCUAACCGUCUCUUGACUGAGACUAGCGACUUGUGCGCUAACUUUUGACUUGACCUCAAAUCAGGUAGGACUACCCGCUGAACUUAAGC